This 1134-nucleotide ribosomal RNA is filed under the name uncultured bacterium. Its description in RNAcentral is "bacterial SSU rRNA". It matches the Rfam family "Bacterial small subunit ribosomal RNA", at positions 39 to 1182 of the family's 1533-position model. The record is from RNAcentral.
GCGGCGUGCUUAACACAUGCAAGUCGAACGGGAUCCAUCAAGCUUGCUUGGUGGUGAGAGUGGCGAACGGGUGAGUAAUGCGUGACCAACCUGCCCUGUACUCUGGAAUAGCUCCUGGAAACGGGUGGUAAUGCCGGAUGCUCCACAUGGGUGCAUGCCUGUGUGGGAAAGGGUUUACCGGUAUGGGAUGGGGUCGCGUCCUAUCAGCUUGACGGCGGGGUAAUGGCCCACCGUGGCUUUGACGGGUAGCCGGCCUGAGAGGGCGACCGGCCACAUUGGGACUGAGAUACGGCCCAGACUCCUACGGGAGGCAGCAGUGGGGAAUAUUGCACAAUGGGGGGAACCCUGAUGCAGCGACGCCGCGUGCGGGAUGACGGCCUUCGGGUUGUAAACCGCUUUUGAUUGGGAGCAAGCGUUAAGUGAGUGUACCUUUCGAAUAAGCGCCGGCUAACUACGUGCCAGCAGCCGCGGUAAUACGUAGGGCGCAAGCGUUGUCCGGAAUUAUUGGGCGUAAAGGGCUCGUAGGCGGCUCGUCGCGUCUGGUGUGAAAGUCCAUCGCUUAACGGUGGAUCUGCGCCGGGUACGGGCGGGCUGGAGUGCGGUAGGGGAGACUGGAAUUCCCGGUGUAACGGUGGAAUGUGUAGAUAUCGGGAGGAACACCAAUGGCGAAGGCAGGUCUCUGGGCCGUUACUGACGCUGAGGAGCGAAAGCGUGGGGAGCGAACAGGAUUAGAUACCCUGGUAGUCCACGCCGUAAACGGUGGACGCUGGAUGUGGGGCCCAUUCCACGGGUUCCGUGUCGGAGCUAACGCGUUAAGCGUCCCGCCUGGGGAGUACGGCCGCAAGGCUAAAACUCAAAGAAAUUGACGGAGGCCCGCACAAGCGGCGGAGCAUGCGGAUUAAUUCGAUGCAACGCGAAGAACCUUACCUGGGCUUGACAUGUUCCCGGCGACAUCAGAGAUGGUGUUUCCCUUCGGGGCGGGUUCACAGGUGGUGCAUGGUCGUCGUCAGCUCGUGUCGUGAGAUGUUGGGUUAAGUCCCGCAACGAGCGCAACCCUCGCCCCGUGUUGCCAGCACGUCAUGGUGGGAACUCACGGGGGACCGCCGGGGUUAACUCGGAGGAAGGUGGGGAUGA